CAGUAGCCACGGUAAGACAGAGGAUGCAAGCGUUAUCCGGAAUGAUUGGGCGUAAAGCGUCUGUAGGUGGCUUUUCAAGUCCGCCGUCAAAUCCCAGGGCUCAACCCUGGACAGGCGGUGGAAACUACCAAGAUGGAGUACGGUAGGGGCAGAGGGAAUUUCCGGUGGAGCGAUGAAAUGCGUUGAGAUCGGAAAGAACACCAACGGUGAAAGCACUCUGCUGGGCCGACACUGACACUGAGAGACAAAAGUUAGGGGAGAAAAUGGGAUUAGAUACCCCCGUAGUCCCUGUCUCUUAUAA
This 301-nucleotide ribosomal RNA is filed under the name uncultured bacterium. RNAcentral describes it as "partial 16S ribosomal RNA". It matches the Rfam family "Bacterial small subunit ribosomal RNA", at positions 509 to 808 of the family's 1533-position model. The record is from RNAcentral.